This 253-nucleotide ribosomal RNA is filed under the name uncultured bacterium. RNAcentral describes it as "partial 16S ribosomal RNA". It matches the Rfam family "Bacterial small subunit ribosomal RNA", at positions 524 to 776 of the family's 1533-position model. The record is from RNAcentral.
UACGUAGGGUGCAAGCGUUAAUCGGAAUUACUGGGCGUAAAGCGUGCGCAGGCGGUUCUUUAAGUCCGGUGUGAAAUCCCCGGGCUUAACCUGGGAAUGGCGAUGGAGACUGCAAGGCUGGAGUUUGGCAGAGGGGGGUAGAAUUCCACGUGUAGCAGUGAAAUGCGUAGAGAUGUGGAGGAACACCGAUGGCGAAGGCAGCCCCCUGGGUCAAAACUGACGCUCAUGCACGAAAGCGUGGGGAGCAAACAGG